This 254-nucleotide ribosomal RNA is filed under the name uncultured bacterium. RNAcentral's name for it is "partial 16S ribosomal RNA". It matches the Rfam family "Bacterial small subunit ribosomal RNA", at positions 524 to 776 of the family's 1533-position model. The record is from RNAcentral.
UACGUAGGGAGCGAGCGUUGUCCGGAUUCAUUGGGCGUAAAGAGCUCGUAGGCGGCUUGGUAAGUCGGAUGUGAAACCUCCAGGCUCAACCUGGAGUCGCCAUCCGAUACUGCUAUGGCUAGAGUCCGGUAGGGGCCCACGGAAUUCCUGGUGUAGCGGUGAAAUGCGCAGAUAUCAGGAGGAACACCAGUGGCGAAGGCGGCCUUCUGGACCAGUACUGACGCUCAUGCACGAAAGCGUGGGGAGCAAACAGG